RNAcentral lists this ribosomal RNA (348 nucleotides) under Salmonella enterica subsp. enterica serovar Berta. Its description in RNAcentral is "bacterial SSU rRNA". It matches the Rfam family "Bacterial small subunit ribosomal RNA", at positions 1168 to 1515 of the family's 1533-position model. RNAcentral also lists the same sequence under 2 other names. The record is from RNAcentral. Lineage: Bacteria; Pseudomonadati; Pseudomonadota; Gammaproteobacteria; Enterobacterales; Enterobacteriaceae.
GGAAGGUGGGGAUGACGUCAAGUCAUCAUGGCCCUUACGACCAGGGCUACACACGUGCUACAAUGGCGCAUACAAAGAGAAGCGACCUCGCGAGAGCAAGCGGACCUCAUAAAGUGCGUCGUAGUCCGGAUUGGAGUCUGCAACUCGACUCCAUGAAGUCGGAAUCGCUAGUAAUCGUGGAUCAGAAUGCCACGGUGAAUACGUUCCCGGGCCUUGUACACACCGCCCGUCACACCAUGGGAGUGGGUUGCAAAAGAAGUAGGUAGCUUAACCUUCGGGAGGGCGCUUACCACUUUGUGAUUCAUGACUGGGGUGAAGUCGUAACAAGGUAACCGUAGGGGAACCUGC